GCACAGCUCAAAUUUGAAAGCUAGCCUUCGGGUUCGCAUAUGUAAUUUGUAGAGGAUGAUUUGGGGAAGCCGCCUGUCUAAGUUCCUUGGAACAGGACGUCAUAGAGGGUGAGAAUCCCGUAUGUGACAGGAAAUGGCACCCUAUGUAAAUCUCCUUCGACGAGUCGAGUUGUUUGGGAAUGCAGCUCUAAAUGGGAGGUAAAUUUCUUCUAAAGCUAAAUAUUGGCGAGAGACCGAUAGCGCACAAGUAGAGUGAUCGAAAGAUGAAAAGCACUUUGGAAAGAGAGUUAAAAAGCACGUGAAAUUGUUGAAAGGGAAGCGCUUGCAAUCAGACUUGUUUAAACUGUUCGGCCGGUCUUCUGACCGGUUUACUCAGUUUGGACAGGCCAGCAUCAGUUUCGGCGGCCGGAUAAAGGCUCUGGAGAAUGUGGCCUCCACUUCGGUGAGAGGUGUUAUAGCCCAGGGUGUAAUACGGCCAGCCGGGGACUGAGGUCCGCGGCUUCGGGCUAGGAUGCUGGCCGUAAUGGUUGUAAGCGACCCGUCUU
RNAcentral lists this ribosomal RNA (545 nucleotides) under Aureobasidium pullulans. RNAcentral describes it as "eukaryotic LSU rRNA". It matches the Rfam family "Eukaryotic large subunit ribosomal RNA", at positions 102 to 655 of the family's 3401-position model. Lineage: Eukaryota; Fungi; Ascomycota; Dothideomycetes; Dothideales; Saccotheciaceae. The record is from RNAcentral.